ACGCUCGACACCUACGGGAGGCAGCAGUGGGGAAUAUUGCACAAUGGGGGAAACCCUGAUGCAGCAACGCCGCGUGAAGGAAGACGGUUUUCGGAUUGUAAACUUCUGUUCUUAGUGAAGAUAGUGACGGUAGCUAAGGAGCAAGCCACGGCUAACUACGUGCUAGCAGCCGCGGUAAUCUGAGCGGGCUGGCAAGGC
RNAcentral lists this ribosomal RNA (198 nucleotides) under uncultured bacterium. RNAcentral describes it as "partial 16S ribosomal RNA". It matches the Rfam family "Bacterial small subunit ribosomal RNA", at positions 328 to 539 of the family's 1533-position model. The record is from RNAcentral.